Molecule: ribosomal RNA, 911 nt
Filed under: Lachancea kluyveri
Lineage: Eukaryota; Fungi; Ascomycota; Saccharomycetes; Saccharomycetales; Saccharomycetaceae
Description: LSU rRNA
Rfam family: Eukaryotic large subunit ribosomal RNA
Source: RNAcentral
GCAUAUCAAUAAGCGGAGGAAAAGAAACCAACCGGGAUUGCCUUAGUAACGGCGAGUGAAGCGGCAAAAGCUCAAAUUUGAAAUCUGGCACCUUUGGUGUCCGAGUUGUAAUUUGAAGAAGUAACUUUGGGGCUGAUCCUUGUCUAUGUUCCUUGGAACAGGACGUCAUAGAGGGUGAGAAUCCCGUGUGGCGAGGAAUUCAGUCCUAUGUAAAGUGCUUUCGACGAGUCGAGUUGUUUGGGAAUGCAGCUCUAAGUGGGUGGUAAAUUCCAUCUAAAGCUAAAUAUUGGCGAGAGACCGAUAGCGAACAAGUACAGUGAUGGAAAGAUGAAAAGAACUUUGAAAAGAGAGUGAAAAAGUACGUGAAAUUGUUGAAAGGGAAGGGCAUUUGAUCAGACAUGGUGUUUUGCGACCCUAGCUCCUUGUGGGUUGGGAUCUCGCAGCUCACUGGGCCAACAUCAGUUUUGGCGGUGGGAUAAAUCCUUAGGAAUGUAGCUUGUCUUCGGAGAAGUGUUAUAGCCUAGGGGAAUACCGCCAGCCGGGACUGAGGACUGCGACUUUUGUCAAGGAUGUUGGCAUAAUGGUUAAAUGCCGCCCGUCUUGAAACACGGACCAAGGAGUCUAACGUCUAUGCGAGUGUUUGGGUGUAAAACCCGUACGCGUAAUGAAAGUGAACGUAGGUGAGGGCCUCUUUAGAGGUGCAUCAUCGACCGAUCCUGAUGUUUUCGGAUGGAUUUGAGUAAGAGCAUAGCUGUUGGGACCCGAAAGAUGGUGAACUAUGCCUGAAUAGGGUGAAGCCAGAGGAAACUCUGGUGGAGGCUCGUAGCGGUUCUGACGUGCAAAUCGAUCGUCGAAUUUGGGUAUAGGGGCGAAAGACUAAUCGAACCAUCUAGUAGCUGGUUCUUGCCGAA